AGGAUUCUAAUACUAGAUAUAUGACCUUUUUUUCUAUUUGGCCCUUUAAACGUAUGAUCAAAUCAUGUAACACGAUACCACAUACCAUGCAAGUUUUGGAUGAAAUUUAACAUGGGAUCUAACCUCACCGAAAGUUUUUUAUCUUAUCUCUCACUAAACUCACUGUCCCUAUGUUUUUCCUUCUAACAGCCAUUCUUGUAUUUUCCUUGUGUACUACAAUCCUCUUGUCUACAUAUCCCUGUUGAAAUUACAUUGUUUUUUUUUCUCUUCAUUUCACUAUCUCUUAAUCCUGUGAUUUAAAGAAGCCCUAAAACACAUUCUUCUAUAGACCAACACCAAGUCAGCAGGGGCCAACAGCCGAUUGGUGGCCAUAGCAAUUUGACGAAUCUCCGGAUGAUGAUGCAGUGGUGUUUUUCCUAUUGCUUUAAUGCGUUAACGAGUUUUUUGCGUGUCCGUUUACUUUGCCCUCCUCUCGUCGUCCUGGUUGCAUCCUACGGAAACACAACCGCGAGAGGGAGCAGAGAAGCCGAGACGAAGCGAAGGAAAGCAGAGCAGCGCAAGACAAAGAGCGAGCUAUAAGUACCACCCACCCUUCCACCUCUCUCCCCGGCAACCUCCCGGCCCCGCCCCGCGCAUUCCUCCUACUCCGGCGAGACAAACAGACGACAAGACAGCAGCAGCAGCAGAGAGAGAGAGAGAGAGAGAGUUUUUGGUUGCCGGUCUGCGGAUUGUGGAUUUGUUUGUUGGUUGGCUCCGGCGGUUUGGGUUGGGGUUUUGCCGGCGAGGAGGAGGAGGAGGAGGAGGAGGAGGAGGAGGAGGAGG
RNAcentral lists this long non-coding RNA (822 nucleotides) under Oryza brachyantha (malo sina). RNAcentral's name for it is "long non-coding RNA (OBRA_LNC000085)". The record is from RNAcentral. Lineage: Eukaryota; Viridiplantae; Streptophyta; Magnoliopsida; Poales; Poaceae.